Molecule: long non-coding RNA, 986 nt
Organism: Papaver somniferum (opium poppy)
Lineage: Eukaryota; Viridiplantae; Streptophyta; Magnoliopsida; Ranunculales; Papaveraceae
Exons: 4
Source: RefSeq, a predicted model, not a curated record
CAUUUAUCAAAGGCGUUACUCUUGAGCGAUUAAAGAUGGAAAAAUGUUUUCACAGGUAUCACUCAUUCUUAUUUUGGUUGAUUCAGAGUAGGGUUAAAAUUGAUUCGUCUUCCUAUGGAUAAAUUGUUCGAUUCUUCUACCUUAAAUUCUUCAUUCAACUAUAAACCGAGAACUAAGAAAAACCCUUAGAAUCAACUGUUCAAUAUAAACUACAGGCUCUAUUCGUUUUUGAUUUGCUGAUUGAAACAUCAGCGAUUGAAGAAAUGAAUUAUAAUUCUACCUCUUUUUUGUGAAGAACAAGCUGGGAUUUUAAGGUUUAAUUGUGAUGGUGGACAUUAAGAAUUUAAAGAGUGAAGGAAGGAGGUUACAUGAAUCCUAAUACAGUUGUUGUACUUCAUUUAGCUCUUAACCUUGCCAGAACAGAAGAACCCAGAUGAAGGGCUAUUGAUAUCUUUGUGGUUAUCCUGGGGAUUUGUGGAUUUGCUGGAAAGGGCUACGGUGUCGUUGCAUAUGAUCAGGUAUUUGUCUCCAAAUGAGGCUGACAAAAUGUUAGAUAUAGGAUUUGAGCCACAAAUCAGAAAGAUUGUUGAGAAAAUGUACAUGUCUCCACGAGAUGCAAGGAAGACCAUGUUAUUUCGUGCCACCUUUCCAAGAGAGAUACAGGUCAGCAUAUGUGGUUAUUAAGUUCCCUUAUUAUUCUGCUUUUGGCGUCACUUUGAGCUAGAAACAUUUUGAACCUUGAGGUGAACAGCGCAGACGACCAUGGAAAGUGGCAGGAAGUUCAGUUCGUAGUCUAUCAUAUUAUUAACAAUGCUAUAGGAGAACCCCCUCCAUUGUGCACUGUAUGCACUUCAUUUCUUAUUGCAAGUACAUCUAACCCUAAUUUGCGAAUUUGGUAUAAAUAAUGAUGCAACUUCGAUUUCUAUUAUAUUGUAAAUUUAGGCAUUAUGAGACAUAGGAUAACAAGUGUUUUUUUUUCCCCUGCA